GAUAAACGCUGGCGGCGUGCUUAACACAUGCAAGUCGAACGAAGUUUUUCUUUCGGGAGGAACUUAGUGGCGGACGGGUGAGUAACGCGCGGGUAACCUGCCCUGUACAGGGGGACAACAGCUGGAAACGGCUGCUAAUACCGCAUAAGCCCUUAGCACUGCAUGGUGCAUAGGGAAAAGGAGCAAUCCGGUACAGGAUGGACCCGCGUCUGAUUAGCCAGUUGGCAGGGUAACGGCCUACCAAAGCGACGAUCAGUAGCCGAUCUGAGAGGAUGUACGGCCACAUUGGGACUGAGACACGGCCCAGACUCCUACGGGAGGCAGCAGUGGGGAAUAUUGCACAAUGGAGGAAACUCUGAUGCAGCGACGCCGCGUGAGUGAAGAAGUAUUUCGGUAUGUAAAGCUCUAUCAGCAGGAAAGAAAAUGACGGUACCUGACGAAGAAGCACCGGCUAAAUACGUG
RNAcentral lists this ribosomal RNA (462 nucleotides) under uncultured bacterium. Its description in RNAcentral is "partial 16S ribosomal RNA". It matches the Rfam family "Bacterial small subunit ribosomal RNA", at positions 28 to 507 of the family's 1533-position model. The record is from RNAcentral.